Molecule: ribosomal RNA, 492 nt
Filed under: uncultured bacterium
Lineage: Bacteria
Description: partial 16S ribosomal RNA
Rfam family: Bacterial small subunit ribosomal RNA
Source: RNAcentral
AGUGAACGCUGGCGGUAGGCCUAACACAUGCCAGUCGAACGGCAGCACAGUAAGAGCUUGCUCUUACGGGUGGCGAGUGGCGGACGGGUGGGGAAUACAUCGGAAUCUACUUUUUCGUGGGGGAUAACGUAGGGAAACUUACGCUAAUACCGCAUACGACCUACGGGUGAAAGCAGGGGAUCUUCGGACCUUGCGCGAUUGAAUGAGCCGAUGUCGGAUUAGCUAGUUGGCGGGGUAAAGGCCCACCAAGGCGACGAUCCGUAGCUGGUCUGAGAGGAUGAUCAGCCACACUGGAACUGAGACACGGUCCAGACUCCUACGGGAGGCAGCAGUGGGGAAUAUUGGACAAUGGGCGCAAGCCUGAUCCAGCCAUACCACGUGGGUGAAGAAGGCCUUCGGGUUGUAAAGCCCUUUUGUUGGGAAAGAAAAGCAGCAGGUUAAUACCCCGCUGUUCUGACGGUACCCAAAGAAUAAGCACCGGCUAACUUCGUG